This is a small nuclear RNA of Lepus europaeus (European hare), 198 nucleotides long. RefSeq annotates it as U2 spliceosomal RNA. NCBI's taxonomy places the organism in Eukaryota, Metazoa, Chordata, Mammalia, Lagomorpha, Leporidae. The transcript has a single exon. The record is from RefSeq and is a predicted model, not a curated record.
ACCGCUUCUCGGCCUUUUGGCUAAGAUCAAGUGUAGUGACAAUAUAAAGACAAACAGCCCAACUUAGAAAAACCUUGAGGACUUUCAUGAACAUGUCUCCAAAUGCCUAAUAAUUGUGUCAAGCAUCUUUUAAAUAUGCUUAGUAAUUAAGGCAGUGCAAAUCUAAACUACAGUGCGGUAGAUCCUGUACCCACUGGA